UUCAAGAAUAUGCUGGUUUGCUAUUAUUGGUGGUUGAUUUCGACUCAUAGUUGAAGGAAGCAAUUAUUCAGGUUUUGAUUUUCUGGUUGAUAAAGAAAGUGUGUGCUUUUAUGGGUGCAUCAAAACAUAUCUAACAGAGGUUGGGAUGAGUAUUGAAGAUAAAAUGGUGGAAGUUUGGAGAAUGGUUCCUAUUUAUGGCUGUAUUAAAUCAGAUCUUUAUGUAAUUCUUUUACUAUAUUUCUCUUUUAGCUUUUUGAGGGAAAAACGAACAUAGAUAAACUAGAUGCAUGUACUAUGAAUGUUGUUAGUGACUUGUAAAUAUUUCAGUGUAUCUUCAUAUGACU
Cynara cardunculus var. scolymus (artichoke) is the source of this 344-nucleotide long non-coding RNA. RefSeq lists it as uncharacterized. NCBI's taxonomy places the organism in Eukaryota, Viridiplantae, Streptophyta, Magnoliopsida, Asterales, Asteraceae. The transcript is spliced from 2 exons. The record is from RefSeq and is a predicted model, not a curated record.